AGAAUCAACGCUGGCGGCGUGCCUAACACAUGCAAGUCGAACGAGAAAGUGGAGCAAUCCAUGAGUAAAGUGGCGCACGGGUGAGUAACACGUGACUAACCUACCCUUGAGUGGGGGAUAACCUAGGGAAACCUGGGCUAAUACCGCAUAAUACCUUCGGGUCAAAGGAGCAAUUCGCUUAAGCGAGGGGGUCGCGGCCGAUUAGUUAGUUGGCGGGGUAAUGGCCCACCAAGACGAUGAUCGGUAUCCGGCCUGAGAGGGCGCACGGACACACUGGAACUGAAACACGGUCCAGACUCCUACGGGAGGCAGCAGUGGGGAAUUUUGCGCAAUGGGGGAAACCCCUGACGCAGCAACGCCGCGUGGAGGAUGAAGUCCCUUGGGACGUAAACUCCUUUCGAUCGGGACGAUUAUGACGGUACCGGAAGAAGAAGCCCGGCUAACUUCGUGCCAGCAGCCGC
RNAcentral lists this ribosomal RNA (461 nucleotides) under uncultured bacterium. RNAcentral describes it as "SSU rRNA". It matches the Rfam family "Bacterial small subunit ribosomal RNA", at positions 26 to 518 of the family's 1533-position model. The record is from RNAcentral.